CGGGGUGCACCAGGCGCGAAAACUCUACAAUGCAGGCAACUGCGAUAGGGGAACAUCGAGUGAUCCUCAUAUUGGGGGUCUGUCCACUCGCCUAAAAAGCGGGUGUUAGCAAGGGCCGGGCAAGACCGGUGCCAGCCGCCGCGGUAAUACCGGCGGCUCGAGUGGUGGCCGAUAUUAUUGAGUCUAAAGGGUCCGUAGCCGGCUUUGCAAGUCUCUCGGGAAAUCCAGCGGCUUAACCGUUGGUCGUCCGGGGGGUACUACAUUGCUUGGGACUGGGAGAGGUAGGAGGUACUCAGGGGGUAGGAGUGAAAUCCUGUAAUCCUUUGGGGACCACCGGUGGCGAAGGCGUCCUACCAGAACAGGUCCGACGGUGAGGGACGAAAGCUAGGGGCACGAACCGGAUUAGAUACCCGGGUAGUCCUAGCCGUAAACGAUGCUCGCUAGGUGUCACAACAGUCGUGAACUGUUGUGGUGCCGUAGGGAAGCCGUGAAGCGAGCCACUUGGGAAGUACGACCGCAAGGUUGAAACUUAAAGGAAUUGGCGGGGGAGCACAAGGGCGAUUG
RNAcentral lists this ribosomal RNA (564 nucleotides) under uncultured archaeon. RNAcentral's name for it is "bacterial SSU rRNA". It matches the Rfam family "Archaeal small subunit ribosomal RNA", at positions 326 to 890 of the family's 1478-position model. The record is from RNAcentral.